GAAGCCACCAGAAGCUUCUAAGCAGAGGAGGACGUGCUCUGAGUUAUGAUUUCAAAAGACCACUAGGCUUGCUAUGUUGAGAACAGAGGAAAGUGUGGACGCGGGGAGACCAUUUAUCGUCUAGUUGAGAGAUGAUGGUGUCUUGUUGAAGAGGUAGCAGUAGUGAUCGUGAGAAAUGGCUUGGUUUUGAUACAGUUUGAAGGCAUAAUCCGUAGACUUUUCUGGUGGAAUCCAUGUGUGAUUUGAGAAGAAAGUAAUAAAAAGUGUUGUGGGUGAUGAUGACGGGAGAGCAUGCGAAGCACAAGUGGAAGGAUGGAGCACAUAGAGGAGAAAUCCCGUUCAUCACGAACCGGGGAUGAUGCAGGGCUGUGGCUGGAAGAAAGAUCUCGGGAGCCCUCAUCUGAGUAUUAGAAGAUGUAGAGUUCAUCAUAUUCACAGUCCUUCCCUCAGGACGCCUCUGUCCCGAGCGCUCUCCAUGUCAAUCUGCUCAAUCCACCCUGUGGCUGCCUCACUUCAGUCUCCAGGUGUCCUGCUGCCCCAAAUGAGCGACUCUCCGCUUUCUCUCGUUCAGCUUUUAUUUUUCUGCCUCUGCAACUUGAUCACGCUCUUCUGUGUUACUUUAUUGAUUCAAUAAAUAUUUAGUAAGUUCUUUACCUCCUGCCAGGUGCUGAGAAUGUUAAGAGCGGACAAGAAAGACAAUAUCUAGGCAGGCAUGGAGCUUACUUACCAUUUUUAGCAGAGGAUGGGGAGGGGCAGAAGGACACCAGUAAAAAUACAAAUAAGCUAAAUUUUCACAGUUGUAGGUACUAUAAAGGCAGCAAGAUGCAAUGUUCAUUUGACUUGCUACGGCGUCGUGUGUGUCAGGUGGGGGAAGGGGCCCUGGGGAAAGUGGGCAUGUCCAGGUGGAAGCCUUAGAAGGGCAAGUGCUCAGGGAAGGCUCUGCAGAGGAGGUUAUGUACCUCUUGAGAGCAGCAAUGCGAAGCUCAGUCAGAGCCCAGGAAGUGUCGCUAAGCUGGAGCGUAGGUAGCUGCCUCCGUGCAGGGAUGGCCUGGGUGUCCUGAGAAGCAGCUGCUCCCGUGGCUGGGUGCUCGGGCCUGGGAGGGUGCUCAGUACUGCAGGACACGCAGGCAGGAGAGCUGGGCCGCCGGAGCCUGGCUGUGCUCUCUCAACUGUAGUUUGUUUCUUUGUUUAGUAAACUCUGUCCCCAGCGUGGGACUCUGGGGCGGUACUCACGACCUGGAGAUCAAGAGUCACAUGAUCUGCCUACUGAGCCAGCCAGGUGCCCCUGUAGUUUGUCCUUUAAAGCCGUGAUCAAAUCCCCUUUUUCUAACCAUCCCCUGAGCCUGCCGGCUGAGAACGAUCUUUCUGGACCACCUGGCACAUGGCCCAGUGGUGUUGCACUUUGGGAUCUCAGUGUCUGUUCUUCCCAAGAGUUAAAUUUGCUUUCUUUUUUGUUUCUACCCUAUACGGGACAAUAUUCUAAAUUUUAAGGUUUUUAUUUUUAUUUUUAUUUUUUUAAGAAUGCUACACCCAACAACAGGGCUCGAACUUAACCCCAAGAUCAAGAGUUGCGGGCUUUACCUACCGAGACGGCCAGGCACCCAACAAUACUAGAAUGAGGAAAGGAGAAGGAGAAAAGGUACAAUGCACAAGCCUGUCCCUUCUGAUUGAGUCACUUUGGAAUGAACUGAGUUUCGGUGAAACACACUUUCUUUUAGUGUAUCCAAGCUAAUUUUCAGAGGCAAGUAAUUUAAUUUUCUUGAAUAAUUGAUAAGAGCAGUUGUAAUUCCCAAAGUGACUGUUUUUUACCCCACCCAGGUUUUUUUCUCCAGAAUAACAAUUAGUGAUUAAUUGCCAUUAAGAAUUAAUAGUCUUGAACAAUGUUGGCUUUUUUUUUUUUUACUUUUCAUUUUUUAAAAAGAUUUUAUUUAUCUAUUCCUGAGAGACACGGAGAUAGGCAGAGACAGAAGCAGACUCCUUGUGGGGAGCCCGUUGUGGGACUCGAUCCCGGGACCCUGGGACCACACCCUGGGCUGAAGGCAGGUAUUUAACCGCUGAGCCACCCAGGGAUCCCCAUUUUUUUUACUUUUUAAAAAAGUGAUCUUUAACAUGGGGCUCAGACGCACGACCCUGAGAUUACGAGCGGCACGCUCUGCUGGCCGAGCCAGCCAGUACCCACCCCCAGAUAUCUUGUUUUUGGUGCUGUGCCCACUCUGAGCUUGAGCUUUGUAUGAAGAACUGAUGGUACGUUACCUGCAACGGGGGACUUUUCUCCUGCAUCACCAGCUGCUACUGUGUGCUAGAGACCGUGAUACGUCUUUUCAGGUGGUUAUAUAUAUCCCUUUAUCUUCAGGAUAAUCUUUGAGCUGUGUGUUAUUUUCUAGUUGGAAAAAAAAAAACUGGGUUCAUAGAGGUCAUAUUCGGUCCCCAGUUUAUAGAAUUAGCAAAUGGCGAGCAGACAUUUAAAUUUGGGGCUUCUGACCACUUCUCUGUGAAGCUGCCAUGCUUUAAAUAAUAAUAUAGCAAACACCGACCACUUGCUAUUUCCAGGUACAAUCUUAACCACUGUGCUCUUAAGUGCUGUGAUGUGCUGUUCAUCUCUCCUUCCUUCUCUAACUCUCAUUUUCCCCCCGAGCAUUCAUCAGACAGUGAGAGGCAGUGGGUGCAGCCAGAGGCCUGGUGCGCGGGCCCUGCCUGGAGCCAGAUUGCCCGGGUCAGGGGCUUCUCAGCCAGCUUACUGGCCGUGUGGGCAAAUUACUCAGCAUCUCUGUGGUUUGCUUUCCUUAUUUUUAAGGAGGGAUAAUAGGCCUCCUUACCGUCUCACCUCCCUGGGUUAGUGUAAGGAUUAAGGGGGAAGAGCCUCGCAGGAGCCCGGGGUGGUAGUGGUGAGGCCUCCCGGGCACUGGGCCUCCUGCCGGUGAAAGGCCUCGCCCUCCCGCUGCACCUCAACUACAGCUAUAACAUUUUUGGACAAAAUAACCGCUGCUCCGGGUUCCCUUGAGUUGCCCAACAGCCGGGGGCUCCCCGAAACUCCGUUCUCCAGGGCUUGGAACAUCUCAAAUGACUCCCGAAUCUGUUCUUCUGGUUCUGACCAUUUAUCUCCAGCCAAUUUCCAAAUAAAAGAAAACCCUAUGUGCA
Vulpes vulpes (red fox) is the source of this 3138-nucleotide long non-coding RNA. NCBI's taxonomy places the organism in Eukaryota, Metazoa, Chordata, Mammalia, Carnivora, Canidae. The record is from Ensembl.